This is a long non-coding RNA of Cebus imitator (Panamanian white-faced capuchin), 550 nucleotides long. RefSeq lists it as uncharacterized. The record is from RefSeq and is a predicted model, not a curated record. Lineage: Eukaryota; Metazoa; Chordata; Mammalia; Primates; Cebidae. The transcript is spliced from 2 exons.
UGUCUGUGUGUGUGUAUAUAUGUCUGUACACACACAGUAGUUCCACUUAAUCUAUGCUUUCACUUUCCAAGGUCUUAGUUACCCUCAGUCAGCUGCAGUUCAAAAAUAUUAAAAUGAAAAUUCCACAAAUAAACAAAAGUUUUAAACUGUGUGCUGUUCUGAGUAGCAUGAUGAAAUCUCAAGCAGUCCGCUUCAGUCCCUCAAGGGAGGUGAAUCAUCCCUUUGUCUAGCGAUCACACUGUCUAUGUUCCCUGCCCUCCCCUCGUGAUAGUCACUUAGCAGCCAUCUCUGGGAUCAGAUGGGCUGUCAUGGUAUCACAGUGCUGCAUUCAGAACCCAGAAACACAAUCAUCACAAGAAGUUCUACAGUAUAUGACGUAACUGUGUCUUUGUUGAAACUCAUUUACCUUUAUUACUAAAAAAUUAUUGUCAUCUAGAAUUUUCAUUUAUAUUAGUUUUAUUUAUUGUCCUGAGGAGAAUUUUUCCUGUCAAGUGGUAAAGGAAAUGUUCAUCAUUUAUGAAUAAAAUGUUAUUUAAUCUAAUGAGUUAAA